This 72-nucleotide transfer RNA is filed under the name Perca flavescens (yellow perch). It matches the Rfam family "tRNA". From Rfam's summary of the family: Transfer RNA (tRNA) molecules are approximately 80 nucleotides in length. Their secondary structure includes four short double-helical elements and three loops (D, anti-codon, and T loops). Lineage: Eukaryota; Metazoa; Chordata; Actinopteri; Perciformes; Percidae. The record is from Rfam by way of RNAcentral.
GGGGGUAUAGCUCAGUGGUAGAGCAUUUGACUGCAGAUCAAGAGGUCCCCAGUUCAACUCUGGGUGCCCCUC